CCUACGGGCGGCAGCAGUGGGGAAUAUUGCACAAUGGGGGAAACCCUGAUGCAGCGACGCCGCGUGAGUGAAGAAGUAUCUCGGUACGUAAAGCUCUAUCAGCAGGGAAGAAAAUGACGGUACCUGACUAAGAAGCCCCGGCUAACUACGUGCCAGCAGCCGCGGUAAUACGUAGGGGGCAAGCGUUAUCCGGAUUUACUGGGUGUAAAGGGAGCGUAGACGGCAGCACAAGUCUGGAGUGAAAUCCCGGGGCUUAACCCCGGAACUGCUUUGGAAACUGUGCGGCUGGAGUGCAGGAGGGGUAAGCGGAAUUCCUAGUGUAGCGGUAAAAUGCGUAAAUAUAUGUAAGAACACCAGUGGCGAAGGCGGCUUGCUGGGUCGAUACUGACAUUGAGGCACGAAAGCGUGGGGAGCAAACAGGAUUAGAUACCCUGGUAGUC
Molecule: ribosomal RNA, 440 nt
Filed under: uncultured bacterium
Lineage: Bacteria
Description: partial 16S ribosomal RNA
Rfam family: Bacterial small subunit ribosomal RNA
Source: RNAcentral